UACGGAGGGUGCAAGCGUUAUCCGGAUUCACUGGGUUUAAAGGGAGCGUAGGUGGGUUGGUAAGUCAGUGGUGAAAUCCCCGAGCUUAACUCGGAAACUGCCGUGGAUACUCUCUGUCUUGAAUCCCGUGGAGAUGAGCGGAAUAUGUCAUGUAGCGGUGAAAUGCUUAGAUAUGACAUAGAACACCAAUUGCGAAGGCAGCUCGUUACACGAAGAUUGACUCUGAGGCACGAAAGCGUGGGGAUCAAACAGG
Molecule: ribosomal RNA, 253 nt
Filed under: uncultured bacterium
Lineage: Bacteria
Description: partial 16S ribosomal RNA
Rfam family: Bacterial small subunit ribosomal RNA
Source: RNAcentral